RNAcentral lists this ribosomal RNA (139 nucleotides) under Staphylococcus epidermidis. RNAcentral describes it as "23S rRNA. Bacterial LSU". It matches the Rfam family "Bacterial large subunit ribosomal RNA", at positions 2785 to 2925 of the family's 2925-position model. The record is from RNAcentral. Lineage: Bacteria; Bacillati; Bacillota; Bacilli; Caryophanales; Staphylococcaceae.
GCAUGAAGCCCCCCUCAAGAUGAGAUUUCCCAACUUCGGUUAUAAGAUCCCUCGAAGAUGACGAGGUUAAUAGGUUCGAGGUGGAAGCGUGGUGACACGUGGAGCUGACGAAUACUAAUCGAUCGAAGACUUAAUCAAU